Molecule: long non-coding RNA, 677 nt
Filed under: Homo sapiens (human)
Lineage: Eukaryota; Metazoa; Chordata; Mammalia; Primates; Hominidae
Description: HSALNT0370635
Source: RNAcentral
UCUGCGAAUCAAAGGAGAAGCGUCCUUCUCUCACCCUCUCACCCCGCUCCGCUGGCUAGCCAAGCACGGAACCCGCCAGGCUCUGGCCAACCGGCUCACAUGGCCCGGAGCCCAGAGGCUCGCUGAGGCGGCUUCUCUUUACUUUAAACAGGGGGCCUCAUAAGACCUGUUGAGGGGCCCUGCAACACUGUAUACAGAAUCGCCUAUUUAAAAAAAUACACCCAAAAUACAAUUUUGAGACCAGCAUCCAGGCUCUGAAGACCUGUGACAGCCAUCCAUGGAGUCAUGUUAAGAACCUCCACUCCAACUAACCCAAAGCUCACAGCCCUGGAGGAGAAGAAGCCUGUUUGGGGAAUUCUACCUUGGCUCCAUGUCUCUGAAGAGGCUUGUCCCAGGGAAUAUAAUGGGAUCCUCGCUCACACACAACCCAACAGCCGACCCACAAUGGCACACCUCCCAGUUAUUGCCUUAGUCCGGCAAACCCCUGGCUAAGCAUCCACAGCCGAGCUGAGGGCAGUGAGAAAAGUUCAAGUCGCCAGCUGAAGUGGUCUUUAACACCCCCCCCCCGGCCUUCUCAGCCUCACUGUUUAUCCAUAUGAAGCGCUCUCCUUCCCGGCCCACUUCCACCCCCACCUUUCUGAGAUCGGCUAUAAAAAUAAACUAUUUUUCCUUGUUAA